This 668-nucleotide ribosomal RNA is filed under the name uncultured Bacilli bacterium. Its description in RNAcentral is "bacterial SSU rRNA". It matches the Rfam family "Bacterial small subunit ribosomal RNA", at positions 93 to 749 of the family's 1533-position model. Lineage: Bacteria; Bacillati; Bacillota; Bacilli. The record is from RNAcentral.
GAGUUGCGAACGGGUGAGUAAUGUCUGGGAAACCUGCCUGAUGGAGGGGGAUAACUAUUGGAAACGAUAGCUAAUACCGCAUAAAAGUCGACAUUGCAUGAUGUUGACUUGAAAGGUGCAAUUGCAUCACUAAGAGAUGGACCUGCGUUGUAUUAGCUAGUUGGUGAGGUAACGGCUCACCAAGGCGACGAUACAUAGCCGACCUGAGAGGGUGAUCGGCCACACUGGGACUGAGACACGGCCCAGACUCCUACGGGAGGCAGCAGUAGGGAAUCUUCGGCAAUGGGGGCAACCCUGACCGAGCAACGCCGCGUGAGUGAAGAAGGUUUUCGGAUCGUAAAGCUCUGUUGUAAGAGAAGAACGAGUGUGAGAGUGGAAAGUUCACGCUGUGACGGUAUCUUACCAGAAAGGGACGGCUAACUACGUGCCAGCAGCCGCGGUAAUACGUAGGUCCCGAGCGUUAUCCGGAUUUAUUGGGCGUAAAGCGAGCGCAGGCGGUUAGAUAAGUCUGAAGUUAAAGGCUGUGGCUUAACCAUAGUACGCUUUGGAAACUGUUUAACUUGAGUGCAGAAGGGGAGAGUGGAAUUCCAUGUGUAGCGGUGAAAUGCGUAGAUAUAUGGAGGAACACCGGUGGCGAAAGCGGCUCUCUGGUCUGUAACUGACGCUGA